RNAcentral lists this small RNA (92 nucleotides) under Kosakonia oryzae. RNAcentral's name for it is "sroE RNA". It matches the Rfam family "sroE RNA". Rfam says of the family: This family consists of a number of bacterial sroE RNA genes of around 90 bases in length. sroE is found in several Enterobacterial species but its function is unknown. The record is from RNAcentral. RNAcentral also lists the same sequence under 1 other name. Lineage: Bacteria; Pseudomonadati; Pseudomonadota; Gammaproteobacteria; Enterobacterales; Enterobacteriaceae.
AUAACGUAGCUGGGAAGCGGCUGGCUUCCCGUGUAUGAUGAACCCGCCCGGCGCGACCCUGACUCGUCGCUGCCCUGAGGGUUCAUUUUUUG